RNAcentral lists this non-coding RNA (84 nucleotides) under Pseudopedinella elastica. The record is from RNAcentral. Lineage: Eukaryota; Dictyochophyceae; Pedinellales.
AUGGCUGCUCAGCAAGGCCACCUGCCCGUGGUCAAGCUGCUGGAGCCACCUGCCCGAGCGGUGGAGAAGCUCAGCGGGGUGGCC